RNAcentral lists this small RNA (145 nucleotides) under Cercocebus atys (sooty mangabey). Its description in RNAcentral is "Metazoan signal recognition particle RNA". The record is from Rfam by way of RNAcentral. Lineage: Eukaryota; Metazoa; Chordata; Mammalia; Primates; Cercopithecidae. RNAcentral also lists the same sequence under 3 other names.
GCCGGGCAUGGUGGUGCAUGCCUGUAAUCCCAGCUACUUUGGAGGCUGAGGCAGGAGAAUCACUUGAGCCCAGGAGGUGGAGGUUGCAGUGAGCAGAAAUCUGCCACUGUACUGCAGCCUGGGCGACAGAGGGAGACUCUGUCAA